GAACUGCUGAUGAGUCCCAAACAGGAGGACACAUCUUGUCCAGUGU
RNAcentral lists this non-coding RNA (46 nucleotides) under Echinostoma caproni. Lineage: Eukaryota; Metazoa; Platyhelminthes; Trematoda; Plagiorchiida; Echinostomatidae. The record is from RNAcentral.